UACGGAGGAUGCGAGCGUUAUCCGGAUUUAUUGGGUUUAAAGGGUGCGUAGGCGGGCUUUUAAGUCAGCGGUAAAAAUUCGGGGCUCAACCCCGUCCGGCCGUUGAAACUGGGGGUCUUGAGUGGGCGAGAAGAAGGCGGAAUGCGUGGUGUAGCGGUGAAAUGCAUAGAUAUCACGCAGAACCCCGAUUGCGAAGGCAGCCUUCCGGCGCCCUACUGACGCUGAGGCACGAAAGUGCGGGGAGCAAACAGG
RNAcentral lists this ribosomal RNA (252 nucleotides) under uncultured bacterium. Its description in RNAcentral is "partial 16S ribosomal RNA". It matches the Rfam family "Bacterial small subunit ribosomal RNA", at positions 524 to 776 of the family's 1533-position model. The record is from RNAcentral.